UAGAGGUUUCAUAAGGUACUUUAGAGGGCGACAUCGUGUGUCGUCACUUGUCACGUGAUUAUGCGUGACAUCUUUAGCUUGGGCAUUGGCUUGGGUCAGUGGCGUCCUGUAAGCGAGCGGGAUUUGAUGUGUUUUCUAACCACUCACCUGACAUUCUGAUCAUGUACAUUUUAUGAUGGUGUACAGUACUACUUUGAUGUGUACUAAAUUUGGUCGCUGAUGUUUGCCGAUCAGUUUGUAUUGGAUAGUUGCGCCAUAGUUCUCGUAAGUGUUCACUAUGCAUGAACCGAUACUAUUCUAUGUGUAGUUAAUUAUUUGCCUAAGUUUUGUAAGCAUACAUCAUACUGUACUGGAAUUGAACAUUAAGGAAUCUAAUUUAAUCUAUGACGUUACAUACAUUACGAUAUCUGUAUGUUUGUUUAUGCCAUUUGAUUUGAUAUGUUCUUAUAAUGGCUGACUAUAGAUUUUAUAAUUACUGGAAUGCAUUGCUUCAUAUCAUUGUAUUAUUUUACUAUUCCAUAUUACAUGACUGAUUUGAUCAUACUCUAUUUUUUAUGCUUAGUUACCAGACUACAGAGAGACUCAAUAAAGUUUACCGUGAUAGUAUAUGGUUGUUUGGGUAUUUCUACUGUCUGCGUUGGGUGAUUGUGGCGCCCUCUUCCAAACCUAAACCGUUGAUUGUAGAAUCAACGACACUGUAGGUUAAUGACCCACUGAACAUUCCAUUUCCUAUAGUCAAAUAGAUACCACCAGCUAACCCUCUCCCGAGAGUUGGGUGGUAUGCUGUCGACAUACCUGAGGAAGUGUAGGAAACAUCUGGUCAACAUCAAAUGAUUUAUUACCGGACACAGGAAAUCGGGAAUGGACAGUGACUUUGGGUGUUGCCUGAGGCUAAAGGACCAAUGAUAAUUGAAUAUUCGAAUGAGUAGGGUGGAGCCAGAUCCCCUACAUAUACCCAGAAUAUCCAAGGAAAC
Molecule: long non-coding RNA, 974 nt
Organism: Anneissia japonica
Lineage: Eukaryota; Metazoa; Echinodermata; Crinoidea; Comatulida; Comatulidae
Exons: 2
Source: RefSeq, a predicted model, not a curated record